UGUUCUCCCUGCUGGCCAUCGUCAUUCUCCUCUGCUCGUUUUCAUUCAGGUUUGUGCUCGGUAGUUUAGUUGUUUUCCAGUCUAGUUUAGUUCGAGCUCCAUUUGCUGUUUGUCCAUAUUUAUUUCGUGUUCAAUAAACCACCUUUGCAUCUUCACGACUGCCUGCAAUUGGAUCCUCAUUUAUUAUUUUCACACGGCUUAUCUCACUCGCUGUGACAAAAGGUAUUAUCACCAUCAUCAUUACCUGUGUUGGCCGCAAAAUACCCUGGAACAAUUUCAAUUUUCAAGUGCACCUUCUUCCUGGAGGGGUUCAGCUACAUUAGUUACUAUUGUAACUAAUGUAGCUUGUGGGAGAUUGAGGGAAUGGUUACCUCUAAAGAAGCAUAAGAUCUACUGACCGCACCAGGUCAUACCCGGAGAUCCUCGAGCAAUGGUUUGUUGUCUUUUUCCACGGCCUGGGGGAAAAGAAGGGGACAGAGUUUGCAAUCAGACCUCAGAAGCGCUGUAUCAGCCUACAAAUUAAGAAAUUAGGAUGGCAGUCAGUUGCUUUAUUUAGGUCAUGUCUUUUAUAAAAAGCUUUCCAUGAUUUUGACUUUCUUUUUUUCUUUUUUUUGUCAUUUUGUUUCAUUCUGCCUCACCUGUAAAACACUUUGCAAUGGUUUUACAUUUAAAUUGUAUGACAAAGCGAAGAACCUGAAAUUAUUUCAUAAUGGACAUGCAGCUAUGACCUCCUUCACACCGAAGUAAUCACUUUUUGUUGGUCACUUGAAUGUGUUGUUUACACGUCUUUGGAGGGUUGAUAGAAAAACAAGCAAUGCCAUUCACCAAAAUAAUAUCAAUUUUAUGUUUACUAUUAAAGCUAUCGCGGUUUACAAUGGAAAUUAAAACGUAAAUCAUAUCAUCAGUUUAAAUUCUCUCAUUUGCAGAAUGAGCAAUGAUGCUAAUAAACUUACUGACUAAUGAACAUCUGAAGAUUUCAUUUCUGAUUAUUUGAUAUGCGUGGAGGAUUUAUCUGUCUUUGCAAAAAGCUCAUGAGACCCAGCGCAUGGCUAAACCCUCAGUCUUAAGUAGUGCACAUGUAUUUUUUUUUUUUCUACUA
Molecule: long non-coding RNA, 1099 nt
Organism: Haplochromis burtoni (Burton's mouthbrooder)
Lineage: Eukaryota; Metazoa; Chordata; Actinopteri; Cichliformes; Cichlidae
Exons: 3
Source: RefSeq, a predicted model, not a curated record